Molecule: ribosomal RNA, 603 nt
Filed under: Aphelonotus fraterculus
Lineage: Eukaryota; Metazoa; Arthropoda; Insecta; Hemiptera; Pachynomidae
Description: eukaryotic LSU rRNA
Rfam family: Eukaryotic large subunit ribosomal RNA
Source: RNAcentral
CUUGAAACACGGACCAAGAAGUUUAGCGUGUACGCGAGUCAUUGGGUUCAUAUUAAACCUAAAGGCGAAAUGAAAGUAAAGGAGAGAUAUUUUCUUUAUCAUUCUAAGGGAAGAUGAGCCAUUCAUGUGUAUUGUAUAACUAUAGUACUUCUAUAGCUUAUACAUUCACUGUGGUUUCGCAUUCCCGGGGCGUUUCAUUACUCAUUGCGAGUUGAAACGCACCUAGAGCGUACACGCUGAAACCCGAAAGAUGGUGAACUAUGCCUGGCCAGGACGAAGCCAGGGGAAACCCUGGUGGAGGUCCGUAGCGAUUCUGACGUGCAAAUCGAUCGUCGGAGCUGGGUAUAGGGGCGAUAGACCAAUCGAAUCAUCUAGUAGCUGGUUCCCUCUGAAGUUUCCCUCAGGAUAGCUUGCAUUCGGUAGAGAUGAGUCUCAUCCGGUAGAGCGAAUGAUUAGAGGCAUUGGGGUCGAAACGACCUCAACCUAUUCUCAAACUCCAAAUGGAUGAGAACCACGGCUUGCUUGAAAGUGAAGCCGUGGAUUUUUAUUUGUUUCGGAUCAGAAUUGCCAAGUGGGCCAAUUUUGGUAAGCAGAACUGGCGCU